Molecule: transfer RNA, 66 nt
Filed under: Phrynosoma orbiculare (mountain horned lizard)
Lineage: Eukaryota; Metazoa; Chordata; Lepidosauria; Squamata; Phrynosomatidae
Description: tRNA-Ser
Source: RNAcentral
UUACAAACCAAGGGGUGUUCUGAACACCAAGAACUGCUAAUUCUUACCGCUGAAGUUAAAAUCCUC